GAGGUGAAAUUCUUGGAUCGUCGCAAGACGGACAGAAGCGAAAGCAUUUGCCAAAAAUGUUUUCAUUAAUCAAGAACGAAAGUUAGAGGUUCGAAGGCGAUCAGAUACCGCCCUAGUUCUAACCAUAAACGAUGCCAGCCAGCGAUCCGCCGAAGUUCCUCCGAUGACUCGGCGGGCAGCUUCCGGGAAACCAAAGCUUUUGGGUUCCGGGGGAAGUAUGGUUGCAAAGCUGAAACUUA
RNAcentral lists this ribosomal RNA (239 nucleotides) under Staphylococcus aureus. RNAcentral describes it as "partial 16S ribosomal RNA". It matches the Rfam family "Eukaryotic small subunit ribosomal RNA", at positions 908 to 1146 of the family's 1831-position model. Lineage: Bacteria; Bacillati; Bacillota; Bacilli; Caryophanales; Staphylococcaceae. The record is from RNAcentral.